UCCGCCAUAGCUCAGUUGGUAGUAGCGCAUGACUGUUAAUCAUGAUGUCGUAGGUUCGAAUCCUACUGGCGGAG
Molecule: transfer RNA, 74 nt
Filed under: Streptococcus agalactiae
Lineage: Bacteria; Bacillati; Bacillota; Bacilli; Lactobacillales; Streptococcaceae
Also listed under: 2 other names
Description: tRNA-Asn
Rfam family: tRNA
About the family: Transfer RNA (tRNA) molecules are approximately 80 nucleotides in length. Their secondary structure includes four short double-helical elements and three loops (D, anti-codon, and T loops).
Source: RNAcentral